UUCAACUGUUGAUGAGGCACUGUCCGAGGAGAGACAGUAGAUAAAUGCAAAUGUCCCCCAGCGCCAGAGGAGAUCCUUUCUAUGGAGAAACACCACAUACGUACAUAAUUUUCUGCCUGGAUUGUGGAAACGACCAAGGAUAAGCAACUCAAGCGAAAGAAUGCUUUGGUCGAUCCUGCUGUGUUAUUCUUCUCAAACAUGCUAAAGAAAGGGAUGAUACAAUCAAUCCAACUGUUACCUUCGGUGUGAUUUUUUGAAGGACUAAUCUGAAGAUGCUGGCUAGCUUGCACCGCCAUCAUACAGUCUAGAAGCAAAGACAAGGAUUACAGGGAAAAUAAAGGCAAUUCGCCAUCCGAAGAAAUGCCAACUAACACAUUUUUGUACUUCCUCUGUUACAGAGGUUGCUCCUGCAAAGAAACCACAGUAAACUCCCAUGAUUUAGUUAGAAAAUACUCUUCUAAAGGCGGUCACUCAACUAAGUAUCUUACACAAUAUACCCAGAUGGAUGAUUGGAGCAGCCUCAGCUGCUAAUUAGUGCUCCUGUGUUGAAUCACUCAGCUAAGUAUCAACACUGCCCUCGAGACUUGGCUAUUAGCAUAGUAGCAACGAGCUCACAAAAAAAUCUGCAGAUUCA
This is a long non-coding RNA of Triticum dicoccoides, 634 nucleotides long. RefSeq lists it as uncharacterized. NCBI's taxonomy places the organism in Eukaryota, Viridiplantae, Streptophyta, Magnoliopsida, Poales, Poaceae. The transcript is spliced from 4 exons. The record is from RefSeq and is a predicted model, not a curated record.